CCUACGGGUGGCAGCAGUGGGGAAUAUUGCACAAUGGGGGGAAGUCUGAUGCAGCAAUGCCGCGUGAAGGAUGAAGGCCUUCGGAUUGUAAAAUUCUUUUGUACGGGACGAAGAAAGUGACGGUACCGUAAGUAUAAGUCACGGCUAACUACGUGCCAGCAGCCGCGGUACUACGUAGGUGGCGAGCUUUAUCCGGAUUUACUGGGUGUAAAGGGCGAGUAGGCGGGAUUGUAAGUCAGAUGUGAAAACUAUGGGCUCAACCGUUAGAGUGCAUGUGAAACUGGAGGUCUUGAGUGUUGGAGAGGCAGGCGGAAUUCCCGGUGUAGCGGUGGAAUGCGUAGAUAUCAGGAAGAACACCGGUGGCGAAGGCAGCCUGCUGGACAUUAACUGACGCUGAGGCGCGAAAGCGUGGGGAGCAAACAGGAUUAGAUACCCCUGUAGUC
This 443-nucleotide ribosomal RNA is filed under the name uncultured bacterium. RNAcentral's name for it is "partial 16S ribosomal RNA". It matches the Rfam family "Bacterial small subunit ribosomal RNA", at positions 338 to 795 of the family's 1533-position model. The record is from RNAcentral.